This 384-nucleotide ribosomal RNA is filed under the name Triticum aestivum (bread wheat). Its description in RNAcentral is "partial small subunit ribosomal RNA". The record is from RNAcentral. Lineage: Eukaryota; Viridiplantae; Streptophyta; Magnoliopsida; Poales; Poaceae.
AUGGAGUCUGCUGAUGUAGCCCCUGCCAGCUAUGUCACUUUUGCUUCCUUCUUUCUAAAGGGACCCGCAGCGCAAUGGUGGGACAGCCACAGGCGUACUCUGCCAGUUGGGACAAUCAUCUCCUGGCCAGACUUUCAGGCUGCCUUCCGUGCCCGCUUCAUUCCUCAGGGAAUCAUGGAUAGGAAGAAGCGUGAGUUCCGCAACCUCACACAGGGCAACAAAACUGUGGAAGCUUAUCAGCGGGAGUUUCUGGACUUAUCCCGCUAUGCUGAAGAAGACAUUGCAACUGAUGCUCGCAGACAGGAGAAGUUCCGUGAAGGCCUUCAAGCUGACAUCAAGCUCGCACUUCUAGUGCAUGACUUUGCCGAUUUCGCCACCUUGUGA